RNAcentral lists this transfer RNA (66 nucleotides) under Albula glossodonta (roundjaw bonefish). RNAcentral's name for it is "tRNA-Cys". It matches the Rfam family "tRNA". From Rfam's summary of the family: Transfer RNA (tRNA) molecules are approximately 80 nucleotides in length. Their secondary structure includes four short double-helical elements and three loops (D, anti-codon, and T loops). Further hydrogen bonds mediate the characteristic L-shaped molecular structure. tRNAs have two regions of fundamental functional importance: the anti-codon, which is responsible for specific mRNA codon recognition, and the 3' end, to which the tRNAs corresponding amino acid is attached (by aminoacyl-tRNA synthetases). tRNAs cope with the degeneracy of the genetic code in two manners: having more than one tRNA (with a specific anti-codon) for a particular amino acid; and 'wobble' base-pairing, i.e. permitting non-standard base-pairing at the 3rd anti-codon position. Lineage: Eukaryota; Metazoa; Chordata; Actinopteri; Albuliformes; Albulidae. The record is from RNAcentral.
AGCCCCGUAGUGGAAUCCACGUCAGAUUGCAAACCUGAAGAUGCAGAUUAAGACCUGCCGGGGCUU